GACUCAUGCCCGUUUUCACCAACAACCUCUUACCGUUUCCCUAUCUAAAAGCUACUUUUAAUAAGGACCCCUCCCAAUUUGACACCUACCUAAAUUCAUUUUCACCACACUUGUACAUGGAUCCCUUAAAUAAGUUUAUUUUGGCAGAGAAGAGAAAACGAGGAUAAACCUUUCUUGCAGAAGAAAAAGACAAGCUAGUGAAAUUGCUGACGUCUCAUAGAGACACAAUAUUAAACAAAAAAUGGAUGGGACCACGAACGAAGCCAAAAACAAAGCUUGGAUCCAGUUACAAAUAGUUUUAAUGCGAUAGGAACCGUUUAGAGGUAAAUGUGAAUAAUAUCUGUGUAUAAUAAUAUAAGAUAUUGCCGUUCAACUGUGUUCCUUGUUUUACUGUCGACUUCAUUGUAUUUUUGUUCUCCAUGAGUUGAUGGAUUUAAGUAUGGGGUUAAAAUUAUACAUUUAUUAUAUUUAUUUAGUUUCAGGUGGUGCGAGAAAUUGGAAAGACGUGUAAAAACAUGCUGCGCCCAGCCCACCUCAAAUUGAAUUGGUGCAGGAGGAUGAUGAUAAUGUUUGGUACAUCAUAUGAGGACUAAUAUUAAAAUAUUUGUUUAC
This is a long non-coding RNA of Helicoverpa armigera (cotton bollworm), 612 nucleotides long. RefSeq lists it as uncharacterized. The transcript is spliced from 2 exons. Lineage: Eukaryota; Metazoa; Arthropoda; Insecta; Lepidoptera; Noctuidae. The record is from RefSeq and is a predicted model, not a curated record.